This 465-nucleotide ribosomal RNA is filed under the name uncultured bacterium. RNAcentral describes it as "partial 16S ribosomal RNA". It matches the Rfam family "Bacterial small subunit ribosomal RNA", at positions 29 to 507 of the family's 1533-position model. The record is from RNAcentral.
AUGAACGCUGGCGGCGUGCUUAACACAUGCAAGUCGAACGAUGAAGCCCAGCUUGCUGGGUGGAUUAGUGGCGAACGGGUGAGUAACACGUGAGUAACCUGCCCUUAACUCUGGGAUAAGCCUGGGAAACUGGGUCUAAUACCGGAUAGGAGCGCCUACCGCAUGGUGGGUGUUGGAAAGAUUUAUCGGUUUUGGAUGGACUCGCGGCCUAUCAGCUUGUUGGUGAGGUAAUGGCUCACCAAGGCGACGACGGGUAGCCGGCCUGAGAGGGUGACCGGCCACACUGGGACUGAGACACGGCCCAGACUCCUACGGGAGGCAGCAGUGGGGAAUAUUGCACAAUGGGCGAAAGCCUGAUGCAGCGACGCCGCGUGAGGGAUGACGGCCUUCGGGUUGUAAACCUCUUCCAGUAGGGAAGAAGCGAAAGUGACGGUACCUGCAGAAGAAGCACCGGCUAACUACGUG